This 253-nucleotide long non-coding RNA is filed under the name Sorghum bicolor (sorghum). Its description in RNAcentral is "long non-coding RNA (SBIC_LNC017052)". Lineage: Eukaryota; Viridiplantae; Streptophyta; Magnoliopsida; Poales; Poaceae. The record is from RNAcentral.
AGUCCGAAUAUUCAACAUCCGAUACUGUAUCUGUAUCCGAAUACUUAAAUCGUAUAUUUAGGAUAUCAAUGUCCAAUCAUAUCUUAUCCGACAGAAUUGAUAUUAUCCGUAUUUGAAUCCGAAUUCGGCCAAAAAUAUAAAAACAAAUAUAGUAUCAAUGAUAUCCGUCUGUAUCCAGAGUUUACUUUCGCGCGUAUACGUACGUACUUGGUCUACAAAGGAGCAGUUACGGCUAUCGUGCGCGAUACAUACU